Falco peregrinus (peregrine falcon) is the source of this 6920-nucleotide long non-coding RNA. RefSeq lists it as uncharacterized. The record is from RefSeq and is a predicted model, not a curated record. The transcript has 5 exons. NCBI's taxonomy places the organism in Eukaryota, Metazoa, Chordata, Aves, Falconiformes, Falconidae.
CCAAUCCUCACCCCGGCAGAUGGGGUCAUGCGCGUUGCCGCCGCACCUGUUUCGGCACCCCUCACAGCCCCCCACUCCCCUGCCUUGCCUAUAAAUAGCUUUUUGGCAAGCUUUUCCUUUGCCUAAAUUAGUAAUAGGGUAGGUGGAAAUGUCACCCCUUUCCACAAUUCCUUUGGGAGUGCUGGGGAAGGUGCAGAGGUGUGUAAGGAUAUAAUUAAGUGUUGGGUGUUUUUUUUUUUUCUUGAAGUCAGACAAGCUAUGUCUUUGCCUUCCUCUUCAUUUUUCCCAAUUCCUAUUUGAUUAUUUGAAAUGCAUUCAGCUAUGUCAUAAGAAGGAUUUUUUUUGUUUCCCUAAACCAAUAGGGAAGGCAAGGGAUUUUUUUUUUUUUUUUUACUCCUUUUAGUGAGGCUGUUCAGAGAAAGGAAUAUGCAGGGGGUGAUAAGUGAAUCCAUCUGGACCAUUAUCUUUUGAACCUUUCGGAGGAAUUUUUUGAACAGCUAAUUCUUUAUACAUAGAUACAAAGUCAUAAAAUAUUAGCUAUCCAGAGGGCCUCCUUCUCUACAGUUUACUCAUGUAAGGUAACACUUUUUAAGCUUUGGAGUCUGUAGAGCUGAUCCUUGCAUCAUGAUCUUGUACUGCUGGAUAUGUGUGUGGCAUACGAGUGCUGGAGCAGAGCUUGCUCCCUGGCCGAAGGACUGAAGAAGGGUUUUGUGGCCUAAAAUUUUGUGUUUUUCUUACCCCAGCUAUGGCUGUUGAUCUAACAAAAGAUGUCACUUUCCCCUGCAAAGCUAUUUUAUGUUCACCAGCCACAAGAUCGAGGUCCAGAGCUUUGAUAAAAUGAGCUGAUCAUGAAUAAACACAGACUGCAAAUUAGAAGGUUAUUAACUGCCAGAGGUGUAAGAUUCUGGAAAUCUCACAGUGAAGAUGUUGAAGGCAAGAAAAUAAAUUGGUUUUAAGGAAGAGCCUGGUAAAUUUGUCAAUGGGAUUAUAGCAAAUGAUCUUUUCCAGUUUAUUAUGCUGUCUUAAUUCUGUGUGCUUAAUGAAUAGACCUCAGCCAGUGUUUCCACUAUAGUUAUUUAUGGUCAACAUUAGUACAAGAUUUGACUGUUCCUGGAGACAUCACUUGCAAAUUAUACUUUCAUCAUCAUUUCCAAGGUAACUACGUAAAAUAAUCGCUCUAGAGAAAUUCUGAGCUUGAAUUCUUGAAUAUGAAGGAGACAUGACUCUCGGGGAAGUUAAUUUCCAGCAGCUGCCCAUCACUUUAAGCACAGCAUGGGGAGUCACCACAUCAGCCUCUCAGCUGGUGCAUAUUGUCAUUCUGCACUGAAAUGGAGCAGUGCUAAUUUACAUGAACUGAAAAUUCAACCUAAGAUUAGCCCUCUGCUCCAAGUUUUUAUGCCAUUUAUUGUGUUUCUCUUCUGCCCAUGAGCUGGGAAGGUGUCUUGGGUAAGAAAGCAAACAGUGGGUUACUUCAGUGUUUAUUUUACUACAUUGGACCUUAUGUACUAGGCAAAAACUGGGAGACUUGGAAGUUGUAUGCAAGUUAGGAGGGGACACUGGUCUCUGCUACCUCUGAUCCACUCCUCUGUGCACUGGAGUCAUGCUAAUCCAAAUAUUUUGGGAACGUGCCAUCCCUGAGAUCACCGCGUUAGGUUGCUAAGAGAGUCCUUCUCCAAGGCUUUGGAGGCUGCUCAUCUCUUGACAAUGCAAAAACAGUCAUACCUGCUCUGGAGGAAGGAGAGGUAAUGUCUAAUCUUGCUCCCCACUCAAUUGAAUCUUGUGGCCAAUGUAGAGUCUACUGAUGGAUGAAGGAGAGGAAGUAAAAACUCUAAGGUAGUUUGGAAAAUGAAGAAGGAUGGAGAAAGAAUAAGGUUUGAAAUAAGUGUUCAAGCUUUUCACAGCAAGCAGGCAGUGAAGAAGCUGAGCUAUUAAGGUAUGUUGUUGAUGUGUGAUGAUUCACCCAGCACUCCAAAAUAUUCUGACAGUUUUUCAGGUAUGUUUGACAGACUCUUCAAAAUCAGUCUGAAUAGGUAAUAAACAGAACAACAGAGGGAAGUUUUCCUUUUCUUGCUCUUAAAAGCUCAUCCUUGGCCAUGCUGCUUCAUUCUGAGCUUGUCAGGGCUAAGCCAGCUCUCAGAUUUUGAGGUUUCCUGGUGCUCUGCCCCUUGCUACCCUGCUGUCUAUGAAAUUCCCAGGCUACAAUCCUCCCACUCCACCACAUUCUAUCUGCCUGUUGGAGAAACUGUCUGUCCCAAUGGGAUUUCACGAGGGAAAACAGAAGCCUGUUGCAUUGGUAUAGCUGUUAAAAAGGAGCCUCAAGAGAACAAAGAAUUCAGCUGGGUGAGAAAAGCAGGCAACCACAGGCUUCCUGUUUUUAGCUUUUAUGUGUUGUUUGACCCUACCAUGCCACCUGUGUGGGGUGCAUUUCUGAGCAGGUUGUCUCUUAAACACUUCUACCAAUUCUAAAUGUUUCCAAAGAUUUUUCUGCUCUUUUCUGCAUUCUCAGCAUUCCUUCGCAGCUUCUAACUGACUCUUCUUCCUCGCUGUUUCCACUUGCACUGUCCUGGUUCCUGCAUGACUAGUUCCUGCUAGGUGCUUCAGUGCAGCCCCUGUCAGAACAUCGUGCUGCACUUUAAUUUCCUGUGUCACUCAUACGGGACUUGGCGUAUUCUGGGCUGCAGCCUUUCAGCUUCCGCUUGAAAGCGUCUUGCCACAGAGUCUGCAGCGGGUAGCUUGUCCUCUGAGUUAUUUUGGCUUCAAUUUGGGUUAUUUUGAGAUCUGUUUUAAAGAAACAGAGCAUAUCAGUUUUGAACCUCAUAUAGGAUUUAUAUAUAAAAUAUAUACUCUAGUAUACACUCUAUUUCGAUAACACCUAAGAAAAAACAGGGUGCUUCAGUGUGUUGGAGUUACUUAUCCUGAUACAAUCCUGGGGUAAGAGACAGUUAAGUACACGCAGCAGGGUGUGCAGGGCUAAGGCUUUGUAUUUUAGAAAGGAAAUGCUAUAAAUAGAAGACAAGUUAAUGAAUACACAUUUCUCUUCUUCCGCUCUUUGUGGUUCUCUUAAUACCUGUGUUGCUACUCUUUUAGCCAUGCUAAAUAUGUUCAGUACUGUGGUAAGAACAGAGCCCAUGUUGCCUUUUUGUGCUCCCCUCGUCUGCCUUGGCUAGAGGUAGCUGAAGAAAAGGACAAAACGCUCCCUUCCCUAGGAGUGAGCUGCCUGCCUCCGUGGGCACCGUGACGUGGCUAUGGGAUCCACAUCGGGGAGCAGAACAAUUGCCUCCCAUUUCCCGGAACUGGUGUACUCUCAGGGCUACUCUUGCUGUUUGAUCUCAUUUCAGGGGCACGGAGGUGCAUCUGCCACAGCUGCAAGAUGCCAGGAGCAGCUCACCAGACCAGCUCUGCCCCCAAGAAGGGGAUAGUUCCAGUGACAGGGGAAGCUCAUUUCUUACCUCUGCUCGAGUCAGCCUGAGGAAGGGGUUCAUUCUGCUCAGCCACCUCCCAGUUCAAGGACUGGUGCCAUCUGGAGCUGGCAGUGGGACAGCCAGGCUGAGCCCUCCAGCCAUGCCUAUUUCUGCCUAUUGACAUGGGCCACAACAGUGACAGCAUGAACUGCGACUCGUGUAACUUGAAGAUCUCCGGAGAGAGAUCCUCGGCAGGGAGAUGAUCUUCACUGAAUAAAUUAAGUUGCUGUGGAGGCAUUUUAUAUAUAAAUUUCAUUCUCUAGGUGGAUUUACUAUGUGGCUGACAUUUGUAAGACUAGUUUUGUUGUUAAGAGACAGACAGAAAAAUGAUACCUAUCUUCAAUUUUGCCCAAAGCUUGUUAAAGCCACACCAUACAUGGACUGGUUACUUUCAUUACCAGUUUUAUUUUGGUUUUUUUUUUGUUUUUGUAAUAGGUUAAAACUUUGUCACACACUCUGUGUUCAUAUUGAAAUUUCCCAUGCUGAGUGACUGCCUCAGGCUAAUGGGUUUUAGUAAGUUCUUGCUAAAAUAAGUUGAGUACUUGUAAUGAGUUUAGCAAAAAAUCCCUGUUUUGAUAAUAGAGCUAUACAAUUCAUUUAUUUGUAGCUUGCUUUGGAAAAAAAAAAUCCACAAAAUUAGACUUACCCAGCAAGCUGCAUUAAAAGAAUGUUAACAUUGCAGAAUUAACACAUCUAUGAGCUAGGUGCCCUGUGUAAAAACAUUUUCCGUUUAUCAUGUAAUUAAUGACUGUGUUGUAACACACAAACGGAAAGGGUUGAUAGCUUUUUAAAGUCUUAAAAUGGAUUUUAAGAAAUGUUCCUUCAACUGGAUUUUUGUGGAUGUGAUCUUUUCAAAGAAGCUGUAUUUGGAAUUUAGAACAUAGUUCACGGUGGUAGAAUUACUAAUCAUUAACCUUGAUUUAUUUGACUGCAGUAUGAGGUACAAACAACAAUCAGGGGAAUAAAAAUUUUUGGCAUUUAAAGAAUGAAAAAAAUGUUAAAAUUGAGUAAUAUGCUGUGAGAAAACAUCCUUUAAUGUGAGGAAUUAUCCAGAUAUGUGAGACUGUGGGUUGUUUGGGGCAGGAUGGGGGACACAGAGCAGGACAGAAUCAAGUUUAUUUUGUUGCAGUUCUGCUUGCUUGCAAUAACACAAGGAGUCACUGUCUUUGCAUCGGGGCCCAGUCAAUCUUAGCUCAAGUGCUCUGCCAAUUAGUUUUUCUCGAAGUUCUCUUCUGAGCAUGUAUAAGCAAUAUUUUCCAAUUCCUACCCAUACAUUCUCUUUUCCUUCUGUUCCAGGUACAAAAUCUUGUUCUUACAGUUCACAUUUGGGCAUCCUUAACUUUUACUUAGAGGCUGAGUUUUCUUUUGUGGCUGUUCUCUGAUGGACUGAAAGAAAAAAAAUACAACCUAUCUAAAAUGUAUUUCAACUGGAAUGUAUUGGCUUUCUCUCCUGCUUCAAAUCUCUUCUCAAAACUCAGCUCUUCAGCCGGCAUUCCCUUGUUAAUCUCCAGUCUUAUGUUACUCAGGGAAACUGACUGCUUUUGAUCACAUUAGAUUGUUAAACAAAAGGUCAAGUAAACAAAGUCUCAAGCAUCCUGAGAAGUUAACCCAAGGUGACAAGUUGAACGAUCAAAGUACUGAACUCCUACGUGCUAAAAAAUGAGGAAUGUUCCAUCACUUUCUCUCUUUUUCACUUGCAUUAUCACUUCGUUUUCCUCCCCUAGGCUGUGAUUCAUUUAACUGGCAGUCUAAAAGAUACGUGUGGAGUGUAAGGCUUGAUAUUUAGCUACAUCUCUUACCAGUGGGGAGAGAGAGGCCUCACCACGGAGUGAUUCAUCCCAUCCUAAGAUAGGUGAAAUCAUCUCUUUUCAUCAACUGUAGAGGGAACCUAAAACUCACUUAGACUCCAUAUCUAAUUUUUAGAUUGCUAAAAUUAGGUGAGAUGAAGCUCAUCCUAAGGUUGUUGUUGAGGUUAGUUGUUUGGAGAAGAUUCUAAUUGUCUUAAGCUGGGAGUCUUGGUUUCUAUCUGUGGCACAUCAUGAUUAGCAGUGAUGGCAAAUGCCUCAGAACAGCCUAUGCCAUAAUUAGCACGUUCUUGUAUACUGCUUCAUUGAGGAACCUCAGUCAUUUCAAAGGGAAGAACAGUCACAUCAUGCACAUGUGGGAGAAGUGAUUUCCACUUGGGUGACAGUUUAGUUCACAACUUGUGACAGAAUAGGUUUCAGUACUGAGAAGGAAUGGGAAAAUACUGACUUUUCAUUCAAACUGCAGAAGUGAGGUCUAGGUGGAAAGUGAUUUUAUGUUUUGGAAGAAAGAGAAGCGUUUUUUCAACAUUUUAAAAUCACACAAUAUAUGUGCUGUUAUAAUUUUUUUUCUGCCUUAAAAUUAGAGCUGAGGGUGGAGUAAACGUAGGGUUCACGAAGACAGCAUGCAAUUUAGCUGGGUUUCAGGCACCUAAUUUGAAGAAAAUGAGUCAUGAAAACUAACUGUGCGGCUGAUGGAGAGCUUAUAGUGUUUAAACUUUCAUUAGGAAAACUUCCAGAAAAUUUACCUGUCUUUCUCCUAUUGAUCUCAAUCACAGGUGCUACCAUCUUGAUUAAAAGGGAUAGAUAUGUACCUGGAUCACACGUCCAGUUGCGACAAGGGAAGGAAGUGUCCCAACUCUUAAAUCCACUGCAAGACUUCACCUGGUACCUUCAGAGCAGACCCGACCCACAGGAUGAGCCAUGCACCCCUCCCAGAGUGCUGCAGCAGAGCUUUGCAGGCACCUACUUAAGAAAAAUGUAGCACUGGUAUAUUAAAUGGUUUCAGAGCAAUAAACUGUUUACCUUUAACUUUCCCAUUCUGCCCAAACCCCUCAAACCAACAAUGUAAUCUUAAUAUAUUUACAAGAUUGUGGGGGGGUUUGGGUGCCUCUCUUCUCUGUCUUUUACACAGCAGCCAGUUGGCUGGUUUGCUUUUAAUAUGUCUCUUCUAGGGAAUAUUCUUAGCUCUUAAGGACUGCUAAAUGAAAUUAAUAAUAGAAAGUGGCAGUCAGUCAAAUAGAGGAAUAUAAUGUGGCUAAUGGAAAACUACCGGGAAGGGUGAUUAAAGGGUAUGUUUUCUUUUGAGGAAGGAUGUCUUGUCUUCUGAUUGGGAACCUUUGUUGGUUUGGUCGGGUAGCAGCUAAUCCCAUUUCUUGUGGCAUGGCGUAGUCAUAACAGGGCGAGCUUUUGAACUGUGUCUGCUUGUUGGUUGCAUUCUUUGCGCUUAGAGCUGGGUUUUGGCAUACCUCAACCAAGACUCCCUGUCUCCUUUUUUGACAGCGUGGACCAGAUUCCUUCAUGAUAUGCCAUUGAUGCUGGUGGCCCUUUGGUGCAAAGCCAUGUGAAAUAUUUUAACGUGUUUCAUUCAUAACCUAAAAACAUGUGCCUACAUCAGAGGUGCUGCAAAAUAAAGUAACAACAGGUUUUUAUAGCA